ACAAAUAUGAGUCAGAUGAUUAAACUUUGUAACGAUAUAAUUAAAAAUAUUACUACGUAAAAGGCAAAUCAAGUUAAUAGCAUGUUAAUGUGGUCAUUUAUUUUCUUUAAAAGUUCAUGAGUGCUAUAAAAAAUUAAAUAGGAUUAUAAAUAGAAUCGGAUAUUCAAAGAUUCGGAUAUGAAAAUGAAUAUGGAUGGGUAUUAUCUGGUACACUUUCACCUCUACUUUUGAUAGUACUAACAGGCUCUUUGUUGUGGCACUAACAUAUCUAUCGAAUUGCCAUUCAGGACUGUACCCUGAGUUCAAAGAAAGCUUCCAUAGCGGGCAACUGCAUCAAGUUUCUGCCAAUCUCUAAGUUGCUAUGUUUUCUUCUAAAAUUCAGCCAAAUCAAGUGAUUGUGGAAAUGACUAUUUUUAUUGAUUUUUCUGGUCUUUUCUGAAGUUCUAUCAAUAUUAAGGUUUUUUUUUUUCUUCAUUUGAGAAACACUGUAAUGGUGCUAGAUUGCAGAUAGGGGAAUCUGUUAUGUAAUUUGAAGGAUCUGAUUUAAAGUCCAAUCUGUUUACGGGCAUGGAUAUUGUUAUUGUUCCUAGUGGUCAAGGAUAUUGGUGAAAUCUAAUAUUCUAAUGUAUACCAAUGUAUCCUGCUUUGUAACCAUGUGAAUUGAUUUCCCUGUGCUGAUUGCUAUCAUGUGUUGUAUGGAUGUAUCAACAAUCUGGUGUAAAUUAGUUGGUUAUUUUAUUUUGCAUUCUCUGUGAGAUCACUGCUUGGUUUGGACCCCAGUGACUGCAUGAUAGUGUGUAUUGGUGCCAUGCUCUCUGAUUAUAUAUCCUGCCUAAAGUUUUUGCUGGGUUGAGUUGUAGUUGCAAUCAUUUUACUCAGAUUCAAUUUGAACUUUGGAGACUAAAGAUGUCAAGAUUUCUGCUUCUUUUUUCAUCUCCUGCACCAUUUCAUUCUUUUUUCUUCAAUUUUGAAGUGUGCAGUAACUUCUCUAAACUGGUAUCAGGUGAUUCUUGCAAACUUGAUGUUUUAGCCAAGCAUAGUACCAUUAUAUUGCAGAUAUGCUGAAUGUGGCUUUGUAUUUUGGUUCUUCAAGUUGGAAGCAUGGGGUUCGAAAUGCUGGAUGCACGUGAAUGAGCAUAUGAUUUUGAAAUCCAUUUGAUUAUUGGUCACGGUAAACUGAAAUGUGAAGUCAACAAUGUUAAGUCACAAGAAACUUCUGCUGCUAUGGCAUCCAUGGAGGAGGAUUAGGUUGCAUGUGCUAUGUAUGAUGGAUUCAUAUGAUAACAAGACCCAUAUGAUGUUGAUGGAAUAGGAAAUUCUGAUAAGCCGAAGGAAAAAAUAUGGUCAAGAAGGAUGAUUUUUCCCUGCCAAUUGUGUAGUCAUGCUUUCCACAUACAGGAGAACUAACAGAGACAAAUAUGAAGGAGACCAUAAAUGAGUUGCAUGGAUGCCAACAGCUGCAUGUUGAAAUUGUCUAUUCACAGAUAUCUUCUGCUACUGGUAUCAAGAUGGCUUGAAGAUUUAUAAGAUAGAAGGAAGAGAGCUGAUAAGUUUUGAAGACAGGUUAAGGUUUCUUCGAGGGCACUGGAGAGUACUGCAGUAUGGAUGUUGUGCUUUUGCUUUGUUCAACGACAUGUUCCUGAGCUGGAUCCAAGGUAGUGAAUUUAUUUGCACAUCUUUGAAUCUUGGUCAAUUCAAGCACAAUCUUUAUUUUCUCCAAUUGUCUUCUUCCACAACAUGAACAUUUCACGAAACCUGUUUUUGUUCAUAGAGGACAUUCUUGUCUGCUUAAGCUCGGUCAUCAGAUCUUGGUGGGAAGAAUUUAUUUAGAUAAGAAAAGGAAAAAAAAAAAUUGACUUCAUUCAUAUCUGCGAGCUCUUCCGUUUUUUAGGUUGCUAAGCGAGAGCCACAUGUCUGAUAUUGAGAUACCCAUAGAUCUAAUCCAAGCUUACUACACUCGUAUCACCAAUAUUUUACGUGGAUUAGAGGGUGUACGUUCCCUGGCACCAGGAACUAGAGUGUAUAUCUAAAUCAGAGAACGGAAAUUAACUCUUGCUAAGAUUCCUCAGAUGAGGGACAAGAGGGGCAAAAAAGGGGGAAAAAAAAAUGAAAGAAAAGAGAAAAAAAAGGUUUCCUUUAAGAGACCGUGAGCUAUUUUGGACAUGAAAUCUUUUAUGUUUUCCAAUUGGCACGCAUAAGUGUUUCUAUCAUACUUUCCUAUUUUCCAAACUAAGUGGGGUUAGGCCUACAAAUAGGUCGGGUCGGAUCGGAUUCUGAGUGAUUCUGAUCUGAUCUGAUUUUUUGAUUGGGUCUUGAUAUUGGAUUCAUAUCCAUCCUAAUAAAAAAUUAGAUCGAAUCGGAUCAUGGUCGAAUUUAUUGACCUAUUGGAUCAUUCGGAUCGGGUUGGGUCCAUAUACAAUCCGGCUUCAAUCUAUGAAUGUGGGUCCGGUUCGAAUGCGCUUCGGAACGGGUCGGAUCGAAUCACGAGUUUAAUUUAUUUGAAACCUACCAUCAGUGAAUACUAAUGCUAAAUGACAAUUAAGAAAAGCUUCUUUUCUUUUUUUUCCUCUAAUCUUUCAACUGUAAUUUUUAAUAAUUAAUUAUAUUAGAUAGCAAAGAAAA
Elaeis guineensis (African oil palm) is the source of this 2622-nucleotide long non-coding RNA. RefSeq lists it as uncharacterized. NCBI's taxonomy places the organism in Eukaryota, Viridiplantae, Streptophyta, Magnoliopsida, Arecales, Arecaceae. The record is from RefSeq and is a predicted model, not a curated record.